Molecule: ribosomal RNA, 453 nt
Filed under: uncultured bacterium
Lineage: Bacteria
Description: bacterial SSU rRNA
Rfam family: Bacterial small subunit ribosomal RNA
Source: RNAcentral
AGCGAACGCUGGCGGCAGGCUUAACACAUGCAAGUCGAGCGGGCGUAGCAAUACGUCAGCGGCAGACGGGUGAGUAACGCGUGGGAACGUACCUUUUGGUUCGGAACAACACAGGGAAACUUGUGCUAAUACCGGAUAAGCCCUUACGGGGAAAGAUUUAUCGCCGAAAGAUCGGCCCGCGUCUGAUUAGCUAGUUGGUAGGGUAAUGGCCUACCAAGGCGACGAUCAGUAGCUGGUCUGAGAGGAUGAUCAGCCACAUUGGGACUGAGACUACGGCCCAAACUCCUACGGGAGGCAGCAGUGGGGAAUAUUGGACAAUGGGGGCAACCCUGAUCCAGCCAUGCCGCGUGAGUGAUGAAGGCCCUAGGGUUGUAAAGCUCUUUUGUGCGGGAAGAUAAUGACGGUACCGCAAGAAUAAGCCCCGGCUAACUUCGUGCCAGCAGCCGCGGUAAU